CACGGGAAAACGCCGUGACCGAACAGCAGUUCUACGCUUCUCCUCCUUGUCUAUAGUGCUAGAAAAUUCAGCAAAUCGGGCUCAGCGGAUAUACUUCCGAAGAUAAAACUGUUGAGUGGACGUCUAUACGGAAGAGAUUCUGCAAACGCAGCUUAUGCAUCCAGUUUCCCGCGUUCGAUAAUGAUGGCGACUGUGGCAAAACAUGUUUUGAGAAGGUUAUUGAGCAAUAAAUUAAAUAUUACAGAUA
Molecule: long non-coding RNA, 247 nt
Organism: Armigeres subalbatus
Lineage: Eukaryota; Metazoa; Arthropoda; Insecta; Diptera; Culicidae
Exons: 2
Source: RefSeq, a predicted model, not a curated record